GAUGAACGCUAGCUACAGGCUUAACACAUGCAAGUCGAGGGGAAACGACAUCGAAAGCUUGCUUUUUCUAGGCGUCGACCGGCGCACGGGUGAGUAACGCGUAUCCAACCUGCCCACCACUUGGGGAUAACCUUGCGAAAGUAAGACUAAUACCCAAUGACGUCUCUAGAAGACAUCUGAAAGGGAUUAAAGAUUUAUCGGUGAUGGAUGGGGAUGCGUCUGAUUAGCUUGUUGGCGGGUAACGGCCCACCAAGGCAACGAUCAGUAGGGGUUCUGAGAGGAAGGUCCCCCCACAUUGGAACUGAGACACGGUCCAAACUCCUACGGGAGGCAGCAGUGAGGAAUAUUGGUCAAUGGACGAGAGUCUGAACCAGCCAAGUAGCGUGCAGGAUGACGGCCCUAUGGGUUGUAAACUGCUUUCAGUCGGGAAUAAUUCGUCGGUCGUGACCGACGUUGCAGGUACCGUCAUAAGAAGGACCGGCUAAUUCCGUG
Molecule: ribosomal RNA, 492 nt
Filed under: uncultured bacterium
Lineage: Bacteria
Description: bacterial SSU rRNA
Rfam family: Bacterial small subunit ribosomal RNA
Source: RNAcentral